This 83-nucleotide transfer RNA is filed under the name Canis lupus familiaris (dog). It matches the Rfam family "tRNA". From Rfam's summary of the family: Transfer RNA (tRNA) molecules are approximately 80 nucleotides in length. Their secondary structure includes four short double-helical elements and three loops (D, anti-codon, and T loops). Further hydrogen bonds mediate the characteristic L-shaped molecular structure. tRNAs have two regions of fundamental functional importance: the anti-codon, which is responsible for specific mRNA codon recognition, and the 3' end, to which the tRNAs corresponding amino acid is attached (by aminoacyl-tRNA synthetases). tRNAs cope with the degeneracy of the genetic code in two manners: having more than one tRNA (with a specific anti-codon) for a particular amino acid; and 'wobble' base-pairing, i.e. permitting non-standard base-pairing at the 3rd anti-codon position. Lineage: Eukaryota; Metazoa; Chordata; Mammalia; Carnivora; Canidae. The record is from Rfam by way of RNAcentral. RNAcentral also lists the same sequence under 1 other name.
GCCUGGGUGGCUCAGUGGUUGAGCAUCUGCCUUUGGCUCAGGUCAUGGUCCGGGAGUCCUGGGAUCGAGUCCCACAUCAGGCU